Acanthosepion pharaonis is the source of this 110-nucleotide non-coding RNA. Lineage: Eukaryota; Metazoa; Mollusca; Cephalopoda; Sepiida; Sepiidae. The record is from the annotation of a GenBank genome assembly.
AUGACCAUAUUGCAUUGGAACACCAGUUCUCAUAAGAUCACUGAACUUAAGCAACAUUGAGUCUUGUCAGUACCUAGAUUGGUGACUGCUUGGGAAUACCUGACACUGUA